AUACGGAGGAUGCAAGCGUUAUCCGGAUUUAUUGGGUUUAAAGGGAGCGCAGGCGGAGAUGCAAGCGUGACGUCAAAUUUCGGGGCUCAACCCCGUCUCGCGUCGCGAACUGCGUCCCUUGGUUGCGGGAAGGGGAGGCGGAACUCGUGGUGUAGCGGUGAAAUGCAUAGAUAUCACGAAGAACUCCGAUCGCGAAGGCAGCCUUCCGGCCCGUCAACGACGCUCAUGCUCGAAGGUGCGGGUAUCAAACAGGAUUAGAUACCCUGGUAGUCCGCACAGUAAACGAUGGACACCCGCGGUUUGGCCUGUAUGGCUGAGCCGCCAAGCGAAAGCGUUAAGUGUCCCACCUGGGGAGUACGCCGGCAACAGUGAAACUCAAAUGAAUUGACGGGG
RNAcentral lists this ribosomal RNA (393 nucleotides) under uncultured bacterium. RNAcentral's name for it is "partial 16S ribosomal RNA". It matches the Rfam family "Bacterial small subunit ribosomal RNA", at positions 523 to 918 of the family's 1533-position model. The record is from RNAcentral.